CAUAGCUCAGUUGGGAGAGCAUCUGCCUUACAAGCAGGGGGUCAUAGGUUCGAGCCCUAUUGUUUCC
RNAcentral lists this transfer RNA (67 nucleotides) under human gut metagenome. It matches the Rfam family "tRNA". From Rfam's summary of the family: Transfer RNA (tRNA) molecules are approximately 80 nucleotides in length. Their secondary structure includes four short double-helical elements and three loops (D, anti-codon, and T loops). The record is from RNAcentral.